This 662-nucleotide ribosomal RNA is filed under the name uncultured fungus. RNAcentral's name for it is "eukaryotic LSU rRNA". It matches the Rfam family "Eukaryotic large subunit ribosomal RNA", at positions 24 to 664 of the family's 3401-position model. The record is from RNAcentral. Lineage: Eukaryota; Fungi.
CCCGCUGAACUUAAGCAUAUCAAUAAGCGGAGGAAAAGAAACUAACAAGGAUUCCCUUAGUAACUGCGAGUGAAGUGGGAAAAGCUCAAAUUUAAAAUCUGGCAGUGAUUUGCUGUCCGAGUUGUAACCUAGAGAAGUGUAACCGUCACUGGACCAUGUAUAAGUCUCCUGGGAUGGAGCGUCAUAGAGGGUGAGAAUCCCGUGUAUGACAUGGACUACCAGUGGAUUGUGGUGUGCUCUCAAAGAGUUGAGUUGUUUGGGAAUGCAGCUCUAAAAGGGUGGUAAAUUCCAUCUAAAGCUAAAUAUUGGCGAGAGACCGAUAGCGAACAAGUACCGUGAGGGAAAGAUGAAAAGCACUUUGGAAAGAGAGUUAAACAGUACGUGAAAUUGUUGAAAGGGAAACGCUUGAAGUCAGUCGCGUCGUCCGGGACUCAGCCUAGCUUCUUUGCUCGGUGUACUUCCCGUUCGACGGGUCAACGUCGAUUUUGACCGGCGGAUAAUGGCUUGGGGAACGUGGCACCUUCGGGUGUGUUAUAGCCCCUGGUCGCAUACGUCGGUCGGGAUCGAGGACCGCAGCGCGCCUUUUAGGCCGGGGGUUCGCCCCACGUAACGCGCUUAGGAUGUUGGCAUAAUGGCUUUAAGCGACCCGUCUUGAAACACGG